UACGUAGGGUGCGAGCGUUGUCCGGAAUUAUUGGGCGUAAAGAGCUCGUAGGCGGUGUGUCGCGUCGAUCGUGAAAACUUGGGGCUUAACCCUGAGCUUGCGGUCGAUACAGGCAUCACUUGAGUUCGGCAGGGGAGACUGGAAUUCCUGGUGUAGCGGUGAAAUGCGCAGAUAUCAGGAGGAACACCGGUGGCGAAGGCGGGUCUCUGGGCCGAUACUGACGCUGAGGAGCGAAAGCGUGGGGAGCGAACAGG
Molecule: ribosomal RNA, 254 nt
Filed under: uncultured bacterium
Lineage: Bacteria
Description: partial 16S ribosomal RNA
Rfam family: Bacterial small subunit ribosomal RNA
Source: RNAcentral